GACGAACGCUGGCGGCGCGCUUAACACAUGCAAGUCGAACGGAAAGGCCUGCUUUCCCUUGUGGAUUGCGGGUACUCGAGUGGCGAACGGGUGAGUAACACGUGAGUGAUCUGCCCCCAACUUGGGUAUAAGCCUGGGAAACUGGGUCUAAUUCCCGAUAGGACUGCAGGGUGGUGCCUGUGGUGGAAAACGAUUUUCUAGUGGUUGGGGAUGAGCUCGCGGCCUAUCAGCUUGUUGGUGGGGUAAUGGCCUACUAAGGCGGCGACGGGUAGCCGGCCUGAGAGGGUGGACGGCCACACUGGGACUGAGAUACGGCCCAGACGCCUACGGGAGGCAGCAGUGGGGAAGAUUGCACAAUGGGCGGAAGCCUGAUGCAGCGACGCCGCGUGGGGGAUGACGGCCUUCGGGUUGUAAACUCCUUUCGACCGCGAGGAAGCCACCUGGUUGGAAGGGUGGUGACGGUAGUGGUAGAAGAAGCACCGGCUAACUACGUG
RNAcentral lists this ribosomal RNA (494 nucleotides) under uncultured bacterium. Its description in RNAcentral is "partial 16S ribosomal RNA". It matches the Rfam family "Bacterial small subunit ribosomal RNA", at positions 28 to 507 of the family's 1533-position model. The record is from RNAcentral.